Molecule: ribosomal RNA, 494 nt
Filed under: uncultured bacterium
Lineage: Bacteria
Description: partial 16S ribosomal RNA
Rfam family: Bacterial small subunit ribosomal RNA
Source: RNAcentral
ACGAACGCUGGCGGCGUGCCUAAUACCUGCAAGUAGAACGCUGAAGGAGGAGCUUGCUCUUCUGGAUGAGUUGCGAACGGGUGAGUAACGCGUAGGUAACCUGCCUGGUAGCGGGGGAUAACUAUUGGAAACGAUAGCUAAUACCGCAUAAGAGUAGAUGUUGCAUGACAUUUGCUUAAAAGGUGCAAUUGCAUCACUACCAGAUGGACCUGCGUUGUAUUAGCUAGUUGGUGGGGUAACGGCUCACCAAGGCGACGAUACAUAGCCGACCUGAGAGGGUGAUCGGCCACACUGGGACUGAGACACGGCCCAGACUCCUACGGGAGGCAGCAGGAGGGAAUCUUGGGCAAUGGACGGAAGUCUGACCGAGCAACGCCGCGUGAGUGAAGAAGGGUUUCGGAUCGGAAAGCUCUGUUGUAAGAGAAGAACGAGUGUGAGAGUGGAAAGUCCACACUGUGACGGUAUCUUACCAGAAAGGGACGGCUAACUACGUG